This 305-nucleotide ribosomal RNA is filed under the name uncultured bacterium. Its description in RNAcentral is "bacterial SSU rRNA". It matches the Rfam family "Bacterial small subunit ribosomal RNA", at positions 333 to 631 of the family's 1533-position model. The record is from RNAcentral.
GGGUACCUACGGGAGGCAGCAGUAGGGAAUUUUCGUCAAUGGGCGCAAGCCUGAACGAGCAAUGCCGCGUGAACGAGGAAGGUCUUCGGAUCGUAAAGUUCUGUUGAAGGGGAAAAAGAGCGGAGAGAGGGAAUGAACUCCGAUUGAUAUUACCCUUCGAGGAAGUCACGGCUAACUACGUGCCAGCAGCCGCGGUAAUACGUAGGUGGCGAGCGUUAUCCGGAAUGAUUGGGCGUAAAGGGUGCGUAGGCGGCCUGCUAAGUCUGGAGUGAAAGUUACCGGCUCAACCGGUACAGGCUCUGGAA